GUAAUAUUGAUGUAAUUUUAAUACAAACUGUUUAUUAAUUUGUUUGAAAACUUAUGUGGACAAAUAAAAUUAGUAUACAGAACAAAAAAAUAUGUUUCAAUACCAAAAAAAGUUCACUCCCUAAGCUUUUCUGUCUCUUAAGGAUAACAUCCUGGAUGAGGUCUCUCGAUGAUUCCCCCCACAUACAACAUAACCAUAUAAAAAAAAAAUCAUCAGCCAAGUGAAGCCUCGGGAACAGUAGUGUGAACCUUUGGAUCCUUGGCCUAUCGUCAAAUGAUCGACGACGGUCGAGUUGAUUGAUCCUACACAGUACACAACCUGAAUGUUUUCCCAUAGCAUCUCUGCUUCAUCUAUUCCUUGCUAGUAGGAUUGAUCCCAGAAAACCAUAAAUUUGUUUUAUAAAGAUUGAACGUUUGUCUAUAGAUUAAUUUUCAAUGGAUUAAACAUUGUAAAUUAAUGGUCUUAUGGAUUUUGUGAGUUUAGAUUAUCAAGGUUAGAACUGUGUAUUUUGAAAAGAAUAGGUGAUGCGUCAUCACAAU
Arabidopsis thaliana (thale cress) is the source of this 539-nucleotide RNA transcript. RefSeq lists it as uncharacterized. NCBI's taxonomy places the organism in Eukaryota, Viridiplantae, Streptophyta, Magnoliopsida, Brassicales, Brassicaceae. The transcript has a single exon. The record is from RefSeq.